RNAcentral lists this long non-coding RNA (359 nucleotides) under Ananas comosus (pineapple). RNAcentral's name for it is "long non-coding RNA (ACOM_LNC003652)". The record is from RNAcentral. Lineage: Eukaryota; Viridiplantae; Streptophyta; Magnoliopsida; Poales; Bromeliaceae.
UUCGGACUUUUCGAAGUGUACCAUCCUCGCACUUUGGUCAAUUUGACUAAAGUUUGAUAUUUAUUUUUCGAAUUUUCGGUAUAUCACACACACACACACACACACACACACACACACACACAUAUAUAUAUAUAUAUAUAUAUAUAUUCCGGCUACUAUACUAUCGAUAGUUCCAAACCCUUGGUACUAUUGAGUUUUCUACCGUUAGAUCUACCCUUUGAUCAUUUCCACCCGUUAGAUUAUACUAUUAAACAAACCACCCACUCAACCCUAGGGGACCACUAUCAAUUUAACCGGGGACCACUAUCAUCCUAACCGCACAUCUUUUGUUCCAACGGCCGAAAACUCAAUAGUACCAA